This 478-nucleotide ribosomal RNA is filed under the name uncultured bacterium. Its description in RNAcentral is "partial 16S ribosomal RNA". It matches the Rfam family "Bacterial small subunit ribosomal RNA", at positions 355 to 850 of the family's 1533-position model. The record is from RNAcentral.
UGGGGAAUAUUGGACAAUGGGGGGCAACCCUGAUCCAGCAAUGCCGCGUGUGUGAAGAAGGUCUUCGGAUUGUAAAGCACUUUCGACGGGGACGAUGAUGACGGUACCCGUAGAAGAAGCCCCGGCUAACUUCGUGCCAGCAGCCGCGGUAAUACGAAGGGGGCUAGCGUUGCUCGGAAUGACUGGGCGUAAAGGGCGUGUAGGCGGUUUACACAGUCAGAUGUGAAAUCCCCGGGCUUAACCUGGGAGCUGCAUUUGAUACGUGUAGACUAGAGUGUGAGAGAGGGUUGUGGAAUUCCCAGUGUAGAGGUGAAAUUCGUAGAUAUUGGGAAGAACACCGGUGGCGAAGGCGGCAACCUGGCUCAUGACUGACGCUGAGGCGCGAAAGCGUGGGGAGCAAACAGGUUAGAUACCCUGGUAGUCCACGCUGUAAACGAUGUGUGCUAGAUGUUGGGUAACUUUGUUAUUCAGUGUCGCA